GUGUACAGCCAGACCACCCUGAACAUACCUGAUCUCAUCUGAGCUCAGAAGCUAAGCAGGGUCGGGCCUUGUUAGUACUUGGAUGGGAGAAAGAAGGUGAUUUAUGAA
Ribosomal RNA from Ursus americanus (American black bear), 108 nucleotides. Lineage: Eukaryota; Metazoa; Chordata; Mammalia; Carnivora; Ursidae. The record is from Ensembl.